RNAcentral lists this ribosomal RNA (253 nucleotides) under uncultured bacterium. RNAcentral's name for it is "partial 16S ribosomal RNA". It matches the Rfam family "Bacterial small subunit ribosomal RNA", at positions 524 to 776 of the family's 1533-position model. The record is from RNAcentral.
UACGUAGGCAGCGAGCGUUGUUCGGAGUUACUGGGCGUAAAGGGCGCGUAGGCGGUCUUGUAAGUCCUGUGUGAAAUCCCCCGGCUCAACUGGGGAAUUGCACGGGAAACUGCUUGGCUUGAGUUCGGGAGAGGGAAGCGGAAUUCCGGGUGUAGCGGUGAAAUGCGUAGAUAUCCGGAGGAACACCGGUGGCGAAGGCGGCUUCCUGGACCGACACUGACGCUGAGGCGCGAAAGCUAGGGGAGCAAACGGG